GAUGAAGAACGUAGCGAAAUGCGAUACUUGGUGUGAAUUGCAGAAUCCCGUGAACCAUCGAGUCUUUGAACGCAAGUUGCGCCCGAAGCCAUUAGGCCGAGGGCACGCCUGCCUGGGUGUCACACACCGUUACCCUCGCGCCAACGUCCAUCGUUGGCCGCGGCGCGGGGCGUGUGCUGACCUCCCGCGAGCGGGGUCUCGUGGUUGGUUGAAAAUCGAGUUCGCGGUCGAGGGUGCCGUGAUGAAAUGGUGGAUGGGCGACGCCCGAGGCCAAUCACGCGCGACUCUGUCCGGCUUGGACUCCUGGACCCCUUCGGCGUCUCCGGACGCUCUUUGGCGAGACCUCAGGUCAGGCGGGGCUACCCGCUGAGUUUAAGCAUAUCAAUAAGCGGAGGA
Molecule: unclassified non-coding RNA, 396 nt
Filed under: soil metagenome
Description: partial contains 5.8S ribosomal RNA, internal transcribed spacer 2, and large subunit ribosomal RNA
Rfam family: 5.8S ribosomal RNA (bases 1-122)
Source: RNAcentral